CCAGACUCCUACGGGAGGCAGCAGUGGGGAAUAUUGCACAAUGGGGGAAACCCUGAUGCAGCAACGCCGCGUGAAGGAAGACGGUUUUCGGAUUGUAAACUUCUGUUCUUAGUGAAGAAGAAUGACGGUAGCUAAGUAGCAAGCCACGGCUAACUACGUGCCAGCAGCCGCGGUAAUACGUAGGUGGCAAGCGUUGUCCGGAAUUACUGGGUGUAAAGGGAGCGCAGGCGGGAAGCCAAGUCAGCUGUGAAAACUACGGGCUUAACUUGUAGACUGCAGUUGAAACUGGUUUUCUUGAGUGAAGUAGAGGUUGGCGGAAUUCCGAGUGUAGCGGUGAAAUGCGUAGAUAUUCGGAGGAACAUCGGUGGCGUAAGCGCUUUACUGGGCCGUAAUUGACGCUGAGGAACGAAAGCCAGGGUAGCAAAUGGGAUUAGAUACCCUUGUAUA
RNAcentral lists this ribosomal RNA (447 nucleotides) under uncultured bacterium. RNAcentral describes it as "bacterial SSU rRNA". It matches the Rfam family "Bacterial small subunit ribosomal RNA", at positions 331 to 794 of the family's 1533-position model. The record is from RNAcentral.